AACGAACGCUGGCGGCAUGCCUAACACAUGCAAGUCGAACGAGACCUUCGGGUCUAGUGGCGCACGGGUGCGUAACGCGUGGGAACCUGCCCUUAGGUUCGGAAUAACUCCCCGAAAGGGGUGCUAAUACCGGAUAAUGUCUUCGGACCAAAGAUUUAUCGCCUUUGGAUGGGCCCGCGUUGGAUUAGCUAGUUGGUAGGGUAAAAGCCUACCAAGGCGACGAUCCAUAGCUGGUCUGAGAGGAUGAUCAGACACACUGGGACUGAGACACGGCCCAGACUCCUACGGGAGGCAGCAGUGGGGAAUAUUGGAAAAUGGGCGAAAGCCUGAUCCAGCAAUGCCGCGUGAGUGAUGAAGGCCUUAGGGUUGUAAAGCUCUUUUACCCGGGAUGAUAAUGACAGUACCGGGAGAAUAAGCUCCGGCUAACUCCGUG
RNAcentral lists this ribosomal RNA (433 nucleotides) under uncultured bacterium. Its description in RNAcentral is "partial 16S ribosomal RNA". It matches the Rfam family "Bacterial small subunit ribosomal RNA", at positions 29 to 507 of the family's 1533-position model. The record is from RNAcentral.